GGGGGCGAGUGGCUUUGACGUAGGUCAUGAAACUUCAGGAGCAUACAGAGGCGCAUGGGGACCUCUUUAAAAAUGUGCAUGAAAACUAAUUGGCAACUUUAAUGUUGCUCUUGCUGCCUAAUUUAAACAGGUAGCCGUUGACUUCACUUUUGACGACGGGGUGGGGAAGGCGUUGACUCAGUUGUCUCGGUUUUUUGUUGUUUAUCAGGAUAAGAAACUUAAAUUUACUGGUAAAAACCCAUCUAGUUAUGUUGAUGCUGAUUAGAUGGUGUAUUUUGCAUCAACUAAGUAUGUAGCUGGCCUGAAAGUAGAGGAUUUACGGACACGAGUUCGACUCUCGUCGCCUCCACCA
This 352-nucleotide transfer-messenger RNA is filed under the name Bdellovibrionales bacterium. It matches the Rfam family "transfer-messenger RNA". Rfam says of the family: Bacterial tmRNA, also known as 10Sa RNA or SsrA, is named for its dual tRNA and mRNA-like properties. Lineage: Bacteria; Pseudomonadati; Bdellovibrionota; Bdellovibrionia; Bdellovibrionales. The record is from RNAcentral.